AGAUGUUGGUUAAGUCCGCAACGAGCGCAACCCCUAUUGUUAGUUGCCAUCAUUCAGUUGGGCACUCUAGCGAGACUGCCGGUAAUAAACCGGAGGAAGGUGGGGAUGACGUCAAAUCAUCAUGCCCCUUAUGACCUGGGCUACACACGUGCUACAAUGGUUGGUACAACGAGUUGCGAGUCGGUGACGGCGAGCUAAUCUCUUAAAGCCAAUCUCAGUUCGGAUUGUAGGCUGCAACUCGCCUACAUGAAGUCGGAAUCGCUAGUAAUCGCGGAUCAGCACGCCGCGGUGAAUACGUUCCCGGGCCUU
This 309-nucleotide ribosomal RNA is filed under the name uncultured Streptococcus sp. Its description in RNAcentral is "bacterial SSU rRNA". It matches the Rfam family "Bacterial small subunit ribosomal RNA", at positions 1070 to 1382 of the family's 1533-position model. The record is from RNAcentral. Lineage: Bacteria; Bacillati; Bacillota; Bacilli; Lactobacillales; Streptococcaceae.